GUGCCAGCAGCCGCGGUAAUACGAAGGGGGCUAGCGUUGCUCGGAAUUACUGGGCGUAAAGGGAGCGUAGGCGGACAUUUAAGUCAGGGGUGAAAUCCCGGGGCUCAACCUCGGAAUUGCCUUUGAUACUGGGUGUCUUGAGUAUGAGAGAGGUGUGUGGAACUCCGAGUGUAGAGGUGAAAUUCGUAGAUAUUCGGAAGAACACCAGUGGCGAAGGCGACACACUGGCUCAUUACUGACGCUGAGGCUCGAAAGCGUGGGGAGCAAACAGGAUUAGAUACCCUAGUAGUCC
RNAcentral lists this ribosomal RNA (292 nucleotides) under uncultured Brevundimonas sp. Its description in RNAcentral is "partial 16S ribosomal RNA". It matches the Rfam family "Bacterial small subunit ribosomal RNA", at positions 505 to 796 of the family's 1533-position model. Lineage: Bacteria; Pseudomonadati; Pseudomonadota; Alphaproteobacteria; Caulobacterales; Caulobacteraceae. The record is from RNAcentral.